Molecule: ribosomal RNA, 254 nt
Filed under: uncultured bacterium
Lineage: Bacteria
Description: partial 16S ribosomal RNA
Rfam family: Bacterial small subunit ribosomal RNA
Source: RNAcentral
CACGUAGGGGGCAAGCGUUGUCCGGAUUUAUUGGGCGUAAAGAGUUCGUAGGUGGUUCGGUAAGUCGGGUGUUAAACCCCCAGGCUCAACCUGGGGACGCCACUCGAUACUGCUGUGACUAGAGUCCGGUAGGGGAGCGUGGAAUUCCUGGUGUAGCGGUGAAAUGCGCAGAUAUCAGGAGGAACACCAGCGGCGAAGGCGGCGCUCUGGGCCGGUACUGACGCUGAGGCGCGAAAGCGUGGGGAGCAAACAGG